UAGACCGCCUGGGGAGUACGGCCGCAAGGUUAAAACUCAAAUGAAUUGACGGGGGCCCGCACAAGCGGUGGAGCAUGUGGUUUAAUUCGAUGCAACGCGAAGAACCUUACCUGGUCUUGACAUCCACGGAAGUUUUCAGAGAUGAGAAUGUGCCUUCGGGAACCGUGAGACAGGUGCUGCAUGGCUGUCGUCAGCUCGUGUUGUGAAAUGUUGGGUUAAGUCCCGCAACGAGCGCAACCCUUAUCCUUUGUUGCCAGCGAUUCGGUCGGGAACUCAAAGGAGACUGCCAGUGAUAAACUGGAGGAAGGUGGGGAUGACGUCAAGUCAUCAUGGCCCUUACGACCAGGGCUACACACGUGCUACAAUGGCGCAUACAAAGAGAAGCGACCU
Molecule: ribosomal RNA, 390 nt
Filed under: Salmonella enterica subsp. enterica serovar Agona
Lineage: Bacteria; Pseudomonadati; Pseudomonadota; Gammaproteobacteria; Enterobacterales; Enterobacteriaceae
Also listed under: 1 other name
Description: bacterial SSU rRNA
Rfam family: Bacterial small subunit ribosomal RNA
Source: RNAcentral